GACGAACGCUGGCGGCGUGCUUAACACAUGCAAGUCGUACGGUAAGGCCCUUUCGGGGGUACACGAGUGGCGAACGGGUGAGUAACACGUGAGUAACCUGCCCACAACUUUGGGAUAACGCUAGGAAACUGGUGCUAAUACUGGAUAUGUGCUCCUGCUGCAUGGUGGGGGUUGGAAAGCUCCGGCGGUUGUGGAUGGACUCGCGGCCUAUCAGCUUGUUGGUGGGGUAGUGGCCUACCAAGGCGGCGACGGGUAGCCGGCCUGAGAGGGUGACCGGCCACAGUGGGACUGAGAUACGGCACAGACUCCUACGGGAGGCAGCAGUGGGGAAUAUUGCACAAUGGGCGCAAGCCUGAUGCAGCAACGCCGCGUGCGGGAUGACGGCCUUCGGGUUGUAAACCGCUUUCAGCAGGGACGAAGCUUUUUGUGACGGUACCUGCAGAAGAAGCACCGGCUAACUACGUG
This 465-nucleotide ribosomal RNA is filed under the name uncultured bacterium. RNAcentral describes it as "partial 16S ribosomal RNA". It matches the Rfam family "Bacterial small subunit ribosomal RNA", at positions 28 to 507 of the family's 1533-position model. The record is from RNAcentral.